Strigops habroptila (Kakapo) is the source of this 3816-nucleotide long non-coding RNA. RefSeq lists it as uncharacterized. The transcript is spliced from 4 exons. NCBI's taxonomy places the organism in Eukaryota, Metazoa, Chordata, Aves, Psittaciformes, Psittacidae. The record is from RefSeq and is a predicted model, not a curated record.
AUUUCCCAGGAAGAGAGUUUUAAAAUUUACAACCAAAAAACCCCCAGACUGGAAGAGGGGAAGAGGAAGAAUUAUAUCCCUGUGGGGUCUACUUCAGGCUUUCAUGUCAAAGAUCUAGUUUCAUGGAUCACUGCUAAUGAAGCUUUCACAUAUGUACCGUAAGUAUAGGUACAUUUUGUUCAACAGAAGCCAGUUUUUAUUUCCUGUUCCCAUACCCUCUCACAGGAAAAUGAGCUUGCUCCAGUCACAGAAGUUCUUCAUCUCAGUGCACGAAAGAGAAAUCGAGCAAAAAAGCAAACUCGCACCAUGAGAAAAUUAAGCAUCAGAAGUUACGCCAGUAACAAUCAGAAGAGAAGGGCAGGAUCUAAAGAAGUUGGUAACUAAUCAUUGACAUCUCGACAGCUUGCCCACCCCCUAAGUAAAUAACAGUAAUAAAAAGCUUCAUUUCUGCUACUGUUACCUUAUUACCUCAGAUACUGAAGCCACUGCUGUUCUUGGGGACAGAAAGCCAGAAGAGGACAAGGAACACAACAGAUUCAUCUGAACAAAAGAAGGGCUGUGUUUCUGCAUGUCCAUUCCAGAGUACUCCAGCAAGAAGGACACAUGCAAAAGUACUUGCAAGGUCUUUGUCUAGAUUUUAAAGCCUGUGCUUGGAAAUACCAGGUAGCAUUGGAAGGCUUGUGUGAAAUGACUGAUCUAUAACAUGUUUUUACAGGUUAAACACCAUUGGUUUUAACUGAACACCUAUUUAAUUCCUUCUAUCCCAGGAAAAAUACCCACACAUUACUGGGAACAGACAUUGGUCAGUUUUGUAUCCUGGGCUUUCUAUUAGAAUGAUUGAAACAUGGCAUUAUUGGCAAAUCUGUCCUUUUGCAGCUCAUGUAAUAAUGCUGUUUCACUGCCUAAAGAGUUUAAGUCAGCCCAAUAGCACACUGUUAAUUCAAAUAUUUAAUCUUUUUAUUUAAGGAAAUUGACUUUAUUUAAGUCAAGGCCAGACGUGGUAUUUUGGGUGGUCAAAAUGACUGCUGUUAUUUGCAUCAUCACAGCUGUUCUGAGGAAGACAAGGACUUUUUGGAGCUGGGGCAGAGCAAACUGAGCAAUAGUGUUUCCCAGUGUGCAAUGAGGGACCACUGCUGCUCCACCAACAAGGAAGAAGUGAAACAACUGGAUAAAUCCUGCCCUUCAAACAUCAAAAUCCACAUAUUCCAACACAUACUAGACAACAAACAAGUGUAAUGGGUGGAAGUGAAAAUGAUAAAAUAUUGGUAUGCUUUUGUGUUGGUUAUAAUGAUGGAGGUUGCCAUGCUGCAGAAGACUUAAGUCCGCAGGUUUUUCUCUUUCCAGAAAUUACAGAUGGUACUGACAUUCUUCUUCAAAGACAUUACAGUUGUCGUUAAUUGGUACUGGCUGAGAGAUACCUCCAUGAUAACUAUAAAGACACAAGCAGCUCUGAAAUUCAUGGAUCUCAGUCCUGCAGCAGGCAGGUAGAAAACCCUUCGCAGUGCUGCCACCCAACAGGCGUUCUCUCUCCAUUAUUGCCAUUAACACAAUUCUCUGCCUGUCUCUUUGAUGAGAGCCAACAUCAGUAAGCAUUACAAGUGGAUUAUUGCUUUACACUGCGUGAAAGAUGUGUCUAAUAUGAAGAAGUAAGAUUAAUCUGGCUAAAAUCAGUUUAAGUGAAUGAUUGCAUAUUGAAAUGAUUUGUAACAAUAAGACUGAAAAUUUAUGGAACUCAGAUAUGCAGCCAGAAGGUGUUGGAAUUCGGGGAGCUGCUGAAUGUAUCUCUUGUUUGUGCUACUUUAGAUAUAAUAAUUCCACUUACACAUUUUGUUUGUAGUGUACUGCACCAUAGAUGGAUGUCUGCACACACUUAUGCAUGUUUGUCCGUACACCUCCGGGGAGAAGAAAAACUGAUGGAUUUUUCUAAUUCAAGAUCAAGAUAUAUAUUUUCAUAGAUGGUCCUAUUUGGAAGGAAAUGUAAUCUGUUGGCAUUUGGGUUUAUGAGUGAGCAUACGUAUCUGUGCAGCAACAGAACGGUGUAACAGAAAGCUGGCCAAUUUAUUCUUAGUACAGCGUCCAACAAUUCACCUUUUGAUCCUCCCCUUUUCACAGCUGUUUGUCAAGGAAUGAUUACAGCCUGAAGGAAGCCUGGACGCUGAGAAACAUCUCAUCUCUAUGCGCAAAUGAUCAUUUUUCUCCCAUUCAAGAAGGUUUCAGUGUUACGUAGGUAUAGCUGUGUGAUAGAGAUGCUGCAGUCAGAGUAGGUGGAGGGGUCUGGCUCGUACCCCACCAUGGGACUGGGUGAGCUCAUGGUCUCGCAUAAAUCACCACUGUGGGGAUCUCAGCUCUGAGCUUCAGGUUUCCAGCUGUAAAACAGAGUUAAUAUCAUUUCCUUAGUGGCCCUUUUCUGUCUCUUUCUUCCAAAGAGGCUUUCACCUUGGUAUAUUUGGAAGGUGACUGCCUUUAGUCUCUCUUCAUCCUGUGGCCAAAUGAGCAACCUCCAAGGGUGAAACAGGAGCCACACCAAGGUCUGAGGGCCAGAUAAGAGGAGGAAAAAGCCCUUAAGAUGACCCUACCACAGGAGGGUUUGUACUUGCUAUCUGGGAUUAGCAGAGGAGAGCUAUCUGGAUUUCCUCAAGCUGCUCCCAUGGAUGAGAUCUUACCCUUCCUUUCCUUCAGGGAAACCAGUGCAGGAUGUGCUGCAGGUUGCAGAGACCUCCUCCACCAGCUGCCAUCACUUGAGAAUUUAGUGCUGGAUCCAUCCCUUGGCAUGCUCUGAGGGAUUCACUGUGCUUCUGCUGCAGGAAAAGAGAACAGAGGAGGGGCUGAGGCUGGGGACAGUGAGAUACAGCCUUGCUCCAGCUGUAGCAAUUACCUGCGCUGUCAGACAAACAGCAGGUCUUAAAUUUUGAACAGAAGGGACUAAAUGCAUCCCUGGAGUAACUCCAGCAAUUUCUGCAGGUUAUAGGAGAAAGACUUUGGCCCUCCAUCUGGUUUAUGCAGGGAACUAAGUAUUUUAUCUAACACUGAGUCAAACGACUGAAAUUAUUUCUUAGAUUGAGAAGUUUGGUGUUAAAGCCAGAGGAAAAACACUCACUGCCGAUGAAAUUGACCUCUCUAUAUUUCUAGUGCACAUUAAGCAAAACAGCAUCUUUCAGAUAGAUGCUGAUAGUCAUUUCGAAAUUUCAAUUUCAAGUGCACUAGUUGAUUUCUAUAUGAAUUAGAAUUGCUUCUUACUGUCAUUUUUCAAAGGGUAGGUGUGAGACCGAAGAACUGGCUUCCUUGAAAAAUCCUGCAGCUUAGAUUUUGACCCUAAAUGCUUGUAGCUGGGUGCAUUCAGUAGGACUAAAAAAUACCCUAACAGCUAAGGCAUGAGGUAGUGAUGUGUUUGCAUGACAUGUAGUUCAGUGGGGUUCUCAGCACUUCUUGCAGGAUGAUAAUUCUGGCUACUUUUGUUUCCAGUGGACAUUGCAUGGGCUUCUAUUCCCUGAGGAGUGGUGUGGGAGGCUUGACAUCACGUUCCCCAGCAUGGCAUAAGGGCAAUGGUGGCAGAGCCCAUGUCUGGUGCUUCAGUCCUGCUCCUGUCCCCCAGGGUAACGUUCCUGCUGUGACUGCAACAAACAUGUUACAGCUGAAAAAGGAAGGAUGAAGAAAGAGGCUGAGGAUGCUUAUCGGAGAAGGAGGCUGCUGGACUGUAUUUCCAGGGAGGCCACUUCUGUUCAGCUCAAGUCUCCUUUUACCCAUCUGAUAUGUAAUGCUUAUUUGCCCAGUGUGGUGUCAGGAGACUUCACUGGUGUAUAUGAAGUUCUUUGAUGC